AGUGGCGGACGGGUGAGUAACGCGUGGGUAACCUGCCUCACACUGGGGGACAACAGUUAGAAAUGACUGCUAAUACCGCAUAAGCGCACAGGACCGCAUGGUCCGGUGUGAAAAACUCCGGUGGUGUGAGAUGGACCCGCGUUUGAUUAGCUAGUUGGUGGGGUAACGGCCUACCAAGCCGACGAUCAGUAGCCGACCUGAGAGGGUGACCGGCCACAUUGGGACUGAGACACGGCCCAA
RNAcentral lists this ribosomal RNA (240 nucleotides) under uncultured bacterium. RNAcentral's name for it is "partial 16S ribosomal RNA". It matches the Rfam family "Bacterial small subunit ribosomal RNA", at positions 94 to 334 of the family's 1533-position model. The record is from RNAcentral.